GCAUAACGCGAAGAACCUUACCUAGGCUUGACAUGCAUCUCUAAGCGCGUGAAAGCGCGUGACCCUUCGGGGGAUUUGCACAGGUGCUGUAUGGCCGUCGUCAGCUCGUGUCGUGAGAUGUUGGGUUAAGUCCCGCAACGAGCGCAACCCUUGUGAACAGUUGCCAGCACUUAAGGUGGGAACUCUGUUCAGACUGCCCAGAUCAACUGGGAGGAAGGUGGGGACGACGUCAGGUCAGUAUGGCCCUUACGCCUAGGGCUGCACACGUACUACAAUGCCCAGCACAAUGAGAACCGAGACCGCGAGGUGGAGGAAAUCUAAAAAACUGGGCCCAGUUCGGAUUGGAGGCUGCAACUCGCCUCCAUGAAGUUGGAAUCGCUAGUAAUGGCGCAUCAGCUACGGCGCUGUGAAUACGUUCCCGGGUCUUGUACACACCG
RNAcentral lists this ribosomal RNA (437 nucleotides) under uncultured bacterium. Its description in RNAcentral is "bacterial SSU rRNA". It matches the Rfam family "Bacterial small subunit ribosomal RNA", at positions 954 to 1392 of the family's 1533-position model. The record is from RNAcentral.